UGGCAAGUAACUCAGUGGUUAGAGUUCUGAGCUUAUAUCUCAGCGGUCGUGGGUUCAAGUCCUACCUUGCCAACCA
RNAcentral lists this transfer RNA (76 nucleotides) under Bacillota bacterium. Its description in RNAcentral is "tRNA-Ile". It matches the Rfam family "tRNA". From Rfam's summary of the family: Transfer RNA (tRNA) molecules are approximately 80 nucleotides in length. Their secondary structure includes four short double-helical elements and three loops (D, anti-codon, and T loops). The record is from RNAcentral. Lineage: Bacteria; Bacillati; Bacillota.